Sebastes umbrosus (honeycomb rockfish) is the source of this 436-nucleotide long non-coding RNA. RefSeq lists it as uncharacterized. Lineage: Eukaryota; Metazoa; Chordata; Actinopteri; Perciformes; Sebastidae. The record is from RefSeq and is a predicted model, not a curated record. The transcript is spliced from 3 exons.
GAUGUUUUACCAAGUUGCUGGUGUACCAUUUAUUAUUUUAAUGAUGAAUAACAGUUCAGUAAAUUUACAUCUAUGUAUUUAUUUGUUACAUUUUCCUGGCUCUGACUACCGUUACCUCCACACUCUCCACUAGCACCACCCUGUUGCGUUUCGCUAUCGUCACGUCACAAACUACCUGCAAUCAGUUAUUCUUCGCUGCUCUAAAACAGUAGUUGCCAUUGGCAGCCAUGAGACCUCCAGGGUGACCACACAGUAAAGGCAACUGGUUUGGAGCGGCGAAGAGGAAGAAUUGAUUUCUGGUUAAACAAGUUGAUUUUUUUCUGGGUUAAUAAAUGAUGAUAUCGGAUCGGUGCGUAGACUGGCGUACUUGCUGAUAUCGUUACCAAAUUUUGGGCAGUAUCGGACACAUUUCCAAUACUGCAGGACUGUUUGGUAA